This 292-nucleotide ribosomal RNA is filed under the name uncultured bacterium. RNAcentral's name for it is "partial 16S ribosomal RNA". The record is from RNAcentral.
GGACUACCGGGGUAUCUAAUCCUGUUCGCUCCCCUAGCUUUCGCACCUGAGCGUCAGAUGCUUCCCAGGACACUGCCUUCGCCAUUGGUGUUCCUCCGGAUCUCUACGCAUUUCACCACUCCACCCGGAAUUCCGUGUCCCUCUGAAGCCCUCAAGUCUCGCCGUUUCCAAAGACCUUUCCCAGUUGAGCCGGGAACUGUCACUCCAGACGUACGAAACCGCCUGCGUGCGCUUUACGCCCAGUAACUCCGGACAACGCUCGCCCCCUACGUAUUACCGCGGCUGCUGGCAC